UCCUCGGUAGCUCAGUGGUAGAGCAGUUGGCUGUUAACCAAUUAGUCGCUGGUCGAAUCCAGCCCGGGGAG
RNAcentral lists this transfer RNA (71 nucleotides) under Wolbachia endosymbiont of Litomosoides brasiliensis. RNAcentral describes it as "tRNA-Asn". It matches the Rfam family "tRNA". From Rfam's summary of the family: Transfer RNA (tRNA) molecules are approximately 80 nucleotides in length. Their secondary structure includes four short double-helical elements and three loops (D, anti-codon, and T loops). Further hydrogen bonds mediate the characteristic L-shaped molecular structure. tRNAs have two regions of fundamental functional importance: the anti-codon, which is responsible for specific mRNA codon recognition, and the 3' end, to which the tRNAs corresponding amino acid is attached (by aminoacyl-tRNA synthetases). tRNAs cope with the degeneracy of the genetic code in two manners: having more than one tRNA (with a specific anti-codon) for a particular amino acid; and 'wobble' base-pairing, i.e. permitting non-standard base-pairing at the 3rd anti-codon position. Lineage: Bacteria; Pseudomonadati; Pseudomonadota; Alphaproteobacteria; Rickettsiales; Anaplasmataceae. The record is from RNAcentral.